GGUUUUCUAGGUUUAUAACUGCAAUUUGAAUUGCAAAGCAAUAAAGCUUGUGUGAUGGCAAUAAUUAACUCUUAUCAGAAAAAAAGUUACAAAAUUUAAUAUAAGACAACUUUGUUGAUAAGCUCGCAACAUUGUUUUCAGACAAUAAAUAAAUCUAAAUUUUAUUUGGAAAAGAAGUAGAAUGCAACAUUCAAAAAGUGACUUUUAGAUCAAGUCUGUAUAUCUGUCGAAAACUCAAUUCAAAAUUUAAAGCAAUGCUAUAGCCGAGCCUAUAUCUCAAUCUCUCUGAAUAUAUAUCUGUCAAAGAUCGAUCUACAAAUUUGGACAUUUUCUUUAUUUCUUUUUGUUAAGGCUUUACCUAAA
Molecule: non-coding RNA, 363 nt
Organism: Hydra vulgaris (swiftwater hydra)
Lineage: Eukaryota; Metazoa; Cnidaria; Hydrozoa; Anthoathecata; Hydridae
Source: RefSeq, a predicted model, not a curated record